This 86-nucleotide transfer RNA is filed under the name Paludibacteraceae bacterium. Its description in RNAcentral is "tRNA-Leu". It matches the Rfam family "tRNA". From Rfam's summary of the family: Transfer RNA (tRNA) molecules are approximately 80 nucleotides in length. Their secondary structure includes four short double-helical elements and three loops (D, anti-codon, and T loops). Lineage: Bacteria; Pseudomonadati; Bacteroidota; Bacteroidia; Bacteroidales; Paludibacteraceae. The record is from RNAcentral.
GCCACCGUGGUGGAAUCGGCAGACACCUUGGACUUAAAAUCCAAUGCAAUGAAAAUUGCGUACCAGUUCAAGUCUGGUUGGUGGCA